GAUGAACGCUGGCGGCGUGCCUAACACAUGCAAGUCGAGCGAACGGACGAGAAGCUUGCUUCUCUGAUGUUAGCGGCGGACGGGUGAGUAAGACGUGGAUAACAUACCUAUAAGACUGGGAUAAUUUCGGGAAACAGGAGCUAAUACCGGAUGAUACUUUGAACCGCAGGGUUCAAAAGUGAAAGACGGUCUUGCUGUCACAUAUAGAUGGAUCCGCGCUGCAUUAGCUAGUUGGUAAGGUAACGGCUUACCAAGGCAACGAUGCAUAGCCGACCUGAGAGGGUGAUCGGCCACACUGGAACUGAGACACGGUCCAGACUCCUACGGGAGGCAGCAGUAGGGAAUCUUCCACAAUGGGCGAAAGCCUGACGGAGCAACACCGCGUGAGUGAUGAAGGCCUUCGGAUCGUAAAACUCUGUUAUUAGGGAAGAACAUAUGUGUAAUUAUCUGUGCACAUCUUGACGGCACCUAAUCAGAAAGCCACGGCUAACUACGUG
Molecule: ribosomal RNA, 497 nt
Filed under: uncultured bacterium
Lineage: Bacteria
Description: partial 16S ribosomal RNA
Rfam family: Bacterial small subunit ribosomal RNA
Source: RNAcentral